Molecule: unclassified non-coding RNA, 1041 nt
Filed under: Hevea brasiliensis (rubber tree)
Lineage: Eukaryota; Viridiplantae; Streptophyta; Magnoliopsida; Malpighiales; Euphorbiaceae
Source: RNAcentral
UUUGGAAAUGUGGUUGCAUCCAGAAGAAAGUGGUAUUGAUCAUUCACGGACUCUGAACCUUCUCCAAAGACUUCAUAUUGCAAUUGAUGUGGCUUCUGCACUGAAUUAUCUUCAUGACCAUUGUGAAGUGCCAAUCAUUCAUUGUGACUUAAAACCAAGUAAUAUUCUUCUUGAUAGUGGCAUGACAGCUCAUGUUGGUGAUUUUGGAUUAGCAAGGUUCCUUACCAAAACAACCAGCUGCUCUUCUCAAGGCCAAACUAGUUCCAUUGGGAUGAAGGGAACAAUUGGGUACAUGGCUCCUGAGUAUGGCAUAGGCAGUGAGGCAACCAUAUCAGGAGAUGUUUAUAGCUUUGGGGUAAUUUUACUGGAGAUGUUCACAGGGAAAAGACCAAUUGAAGAAAUGUUUACAGAUGGUCUAAAUCUCCACAAUUUUGUCAAAGCUAAGCUCCCAAGACGAGUCAUGCAAGUUGUGGAUCCAGUACUUCUCACAACAGGAGAACUAGGGACACCAACAAAUAUGGCAGAAAAUAUGGAUGACAAUGACAUUGAUGAUACUCAAAUAGAGAUCCAAGAACAUGAUUUCAGUGUUGAAAAUUUGGGAUCAAAGGGAGAGGAUGUGAAAAAAUGUGUGGUAUUAGUCCUUGAAGUAGGACUUGCAUGCUCAGUAGAAGUACCAGGAGAUCGAAUGAAUAUGAGGGAUGUCACAAGAAAAUUGAAUGUCAUCAUGGAAGCUAUUCUUCGGGCAAGGACUCAUAGAGGCAAGUGAAGCCAUGAAAAUAGUUUGAUGUAAUGUUUUUAGUUGUAAAGGAAUGGUUGUCCAUAUUUUUAGCAUUAUAUUUAGGAAGUUCGUCUUGUGUUUGGUGUGGUUUUGUUGAUUUGAAAAGGCACCCUUUGCCUAUAAAAAGGAGAGUGUGUUUGGUGGAAAUAAGCAUGAAGUGGCUGGAGUGUGCUGCCGUGUGAGUUUGAGAGAAAUUUUUUUUUUUUUAAAUGUGUAUGUGUGUUUUCUUUUUGUAUCCCUUGUUUCAAAGCAAUGAAUAGUUU